AUGAACGCUGGCGGCGUGCCUAAUACCUGCCAGUCGAGCGAACAGACGAGGAGCUUGCUCCUCUGACGUUAGCGGCGGACGGGUGAGUAACACGUGGAUAACCUACCUAUAAGACUGGGAUAACUUCGGGAAACCGGAGCUAAUACCGGAUAAUAUAUUGAACCGCAUGGUUCAAUAGUGAAAGACGGUUUUGCUGUCACUUAUAGAUGGAUCCGCGCCGCAUUAGCUAGUUGGUAAGGUAACGGCUUACCAAGGCAACGAUGCGUAGCCGACCUGAGAGGGUGAUCGGCCACACUGGAACUGAGACACGGUCCAGACUCCUACGGGAGGCAGCAGUAGGGAAUCUUCCGCAAUGGGCGAAAGCCUGACGGAGCAGCGCCGCGUGAGUGAUGAAGGUCUUCGGAUCGUAAAACUCUGUUAUUAGGGAAGAACAAAUGUGUAAGUAACUAUGCACGUCUUGACGGUACCUAAUCAGAAAGCCACGGCUAACUACGUG
This 496-nucleotide ribosomal RNA is filed under the name uncultured bacterium. RNAcentral describes it as "partial 16S ribosomal RNA". It matches the Rfam family "Bacterial small subunit ribosomal RNA", at positions 29 to 507 of the family's 1533-position model. The record is from RNAcentral.